GUAAUUUCACCCGCAUGGAUUAUUAUUCACCAAUUAAAAGGUGAUGUGGCAAGUAGAGUCCACCUCCACAUAUAAAUAUAUAAUUAAAUAUUCUAAUAAUUUAUAACUAAUUAAAAUUAAAAUAAAACAUUAAAAAAUUUAUAACUGAAAAAAAUCUCUCUCUCUUUCCAACCCACUCCUAGCAGCCAUAACUGUCCCUCCUCAAGCCACCUUUUCCGUGCCCAAACAACCACCAACCCAGAUAGUGGGUAAAAUUGCUCCCAUUUUCUAACUAAUAUUCCAAUCACUCCCAUCAACUAAAUUUCUUACCCACAAACCAAACCUCUCUCUCUGCCUCUGCCUCUGCCUCUCCUUUGCCUCCUACACCAUGGUUGUAAUCUGAGUCGUAUCACCACCAAACCCUAAAAUUCCUUCAUUUUUCCCAACCACAACCUCCAACAACAGCCACAACCACUUAGCCUUUGCAUGGCCGUUUCAAUAUCAAAUGCUCGAUGGAUUACAAUAGAGACUAGUACAACAAUAAUGGCAGCAGCAACAUUCAAGUGCCCGUAGCAUACCCUAGAUCGGCUGAGGUUCAGUGGAAGAAGAAGCUGUGCAAUACGGUGCACAUCAUCGACGUCGUCGGUCUUCCCAUUGAAAUUAAGCACCUUCCCUCUGGAAAGGUCGUCGCUUGGACCCGCCUCACCGUUAAGAAAUCAGCUUCCGACACCCCAUGGAUCAGUUUGACAUUUUGGGAUGAGAUGGUGCAUUGCUUUCUAGCAUGUAGAGAAAGGCAAUCAAAUAUAUGUCAUUGGUCAUCCGAUUACAAAUUAUGUUGAAAACACGAGCAUUUCGAUUCUGGCUUCGGUGAUGACGACCACCAUGACCAGGUUUUGAAAUAGGUCAGCGUAUGUGACCCGAUUAAGCCAUUGGAUUUCCCCGAAGUUGUGAAGCCUUCGAUGAUAUUGAUGGGGAUGUGGAGCUGUUUGAAGAGAGAGGGGAAGAGAGAGAAAGGAAGAGAGAUAGAGGGAGAGAGAAAUUAAAACCCUUUUUAAAUAUUUUGUUUUUAUUAGUUUUAAUAAUUACAAUAUUUAAUUAUAUCUUUAUCUAUGUGGAAGUGGGCUCCACUUGCCUCGUCACCCUUCAAUGAGUGGUUAAUGAUUUAUAUGUAAGAAAUU
Molecule: long non-coding RNA, 1157 nt
Organism: Prunus persica (peach)
Lineage: Eukaryota; Viridiplantae; Streptophyta; Magnoliopsida; Rosales; Rosaceae
Exons: 2
Source: RefSeq, a predicted model, not a curated record